This 29-nucleotide non-coding RNA is filed under the name Rattus norvegicus (Norway rat). Lineage: Eukaryota; Metazoa; Chordata; Mammalia; Rodentia; Muridae. The record is from RNAcentral.
UGUUGUCUUGAGAACACUGUUGUUCUAUC